This 450-nucleotide ribosomal RNA is filed under the name uncultured bacterium. RNAcentral describes it as "partial 16S ribosomal RNA". It matches the Rfam family "Bacterial small subunit ribosomal RNA", at positions 338 to 795 of the family's 1533-position model. The record is from RNAcentral.
CCUACGGGUGGCUGCAGUAAGGAAUAUUGGUCAAUGGAGGAAACUCUGAACCAGCCAUCCCGCGUGAAGGAUGAAGGGGCUCUGCCUUGUAAACUUCUUUUGUCUGGGGCGAAAAAGCUCGAUUUAUCGAGAACUGACGGUACCAGAAGAAUAAGCACCGGCUAACUCCGUGCCAGCAGCCGCGGUAAUACGGAGGGUGCAGGCGGUACCGGGAAUAAAGGGGGCGAAGGGGUGUGAGUAAGGCUGAGUAGAAAGGCUGUGGCUUAACCAUGGAAGUGCCAUUGAUACUGCAGAGCUUGAAUGAGGUUGAGGUUGGCGGAAUGUGACAUGUAGCGGGGAAAUGCUUAGAUAUGUCAUGGAACACCGAUUGCGAAGGCAGCUGACUGGACCUAUAUUGACGCUGAGGCACGAAAGCGUGGGGAGCGAACAGGAUUAGAUACCCUUGUAGUC